CCUACGGGAGGCAGCAGUGGGGGAUAUUGCACAAUGGGGGGAACCCUGAUGCAGCGACGCCGCGUGGGUGAAGGAGUGCUUCGGCAUGUAAAGCCCUAUCGGCAGGGAAGAAGCAAGACGGUACCUGACUAAGAAGCCCCGGCUAACUACGUUCCAGCAGCCGCGGUAAUACGUAGGGGGCGAGCGUUAUCCGGAUUCACUGGGUGUAAAGGGAGCGUAGACGGGCAUGCAAGCCAGGGGUGAAAGCCCGGGGCCCAACCCCGGGACUGCCCGCGGAACUGUGCGGCUAGAGUGCGGGAGGGGCAGGCGGAAUUCCUGGUGUAGCGGUGAAAUGCGUAGAUAUCAGGAGGAACACCGGCGGCGAAGGCGGCCUGCUGGACUGCGACUGACGUUGAGGCUCGAAAGCGUGGGGAGCGAACAGGAUUAGAUACCCUAGUAGUC
RNAcentral lists this ribosomal RNA (441 nucleotides) under uncultured bacterium. Its description in RNAcentral is "partial 16S ribosomal RNA". It matches the Rfam family "Bacterial small subunit ribosomal RNA", at positions 338 to 795 of the family's 1533-position model. The record is from RNAcentral.